RNAcentral lists this ribosomal RNA (408 nucleotides) under uncultured microorganism. RNAcentral describes it as "bacterial SSU rRNA". It matches the Rfam family "Archaeal small subunit ribosomal RNA", at positions 330 to 745 of the family's 1478-position model. The record is from RNAcentral.
GUGCAGCAGUCGCGAAACUUUACAAUGUGCGAAAGCACGAUAAGGGAACUCUGAGUGCCUCCUAAGGAGGCUGUUCAGGUGUCUAAAAGCACCUGGAGUAAGGGCUGGGUAAGACCGGUGCCAGCCGCCGCGGUAACACCGGCAGCCCAGGUGGUAGCCACUUUUAUUGGGUCUAAAGCGUCCGUAGCCGGUUGAGUAAGUUCCUUGGGAAAUUUGGCUGCUCAACAGUCAAGCUUCCAGGGAAUACUGCUCGACUUGGGACUGGGAGAGGUCAGAGGUACUCCAGGGGUAGGGGUGAAAUCCAUUAAUCCCUGGGGGACCACCGGUAGCGAAGGCGUCUGACCAGACCAGGUCCGACGGUGAGGGACGAAGGCUAGGGUCGCGAACCGGAUUAGAUACCCGUGUAGU